Molecule: ribosomal RNA, 543 nt
Filed under: uncultured bacterium
Lineage: Bacteria
Description: bacterial SSU rRNA
Rfam family: Bacterial small subunit ribosomal RNA
Source: RNAcentral
CAGAAAUUGGGCAAUGGGCGAAGCCUGACCCAGCGACACCGCGUGGGGGAAGAAGACCUUCGGGUUGUAAACUCCUUUUAUUGGGGAAGAAUAAUGACGGUACCCAAUGAAUAAGCUCCGGCUAACUCCGUGCCAGCAGCCGCGGUAAGACGGAGGGAGCAAGCGUUGUUCGGAUUUACUGGGCGUAAAGGGCGUAUAGGCGGGCUGGCAAGUCAGGUGUGAAAUCCCCCGGCUCAACCGGGGAUCUGCACUUGAUACUGCUGGUCUUGAGUACGGAAGAGGGAAGCGGAAUUCCUGGUGUAGCGGUGAAAUGUGUAGAUAUCAGGAAGAACACCAGUGGCGAAGGCGGCUUCCUGGUCCGAUACUGACGCUCAAGCGCGAAAGUGUGGGGAGCAAACAGGAUUAGAUACCCUGGUAGUCCACACUGUAAACGAUGGAUACUAGGUGUCGGGGGUAUCGACCCCCCCGGUGCCGAAGCCAACGCAUUAAGUAUCCCGCCUGGGGAGUACGGUCGCAAGGCUGAAACUCAAAAGAAUUGACGGA